GGAGCUGUGGCUCAAUGGUAGAGCACUCACCUAGCAUAUGCGAGGCCCUGGGUUCAAUCCUCAGCACCA
RNAcentral lists this transfer RNA (69 nucleotides) under Ictidomys tridecemlineatus (thirteen-lined ground squirrel). Its description in RNAcentral is "Spermophilus tridecemlineatus (thirteen-lined ground squirrel) tRNA". It matches the Rfam family "tRNA". From Rfam's summary of the family: Transfer RNA (tRNA) molecules are approximately 80 nucleotides in length. Their secondary structure includes four short double-helical elements and three loops (D, anti-codon, and T loops). Lineage: Eukaryota; Metazoa; Chordata; Mammalia; Rodentia; Sciuridae. The record is from Rfam by way of RNAcentral.